Cydia fagiglandana is the source of this 1313-nucleotide long non-coding RNA. RefSeq lists it as uncharacterized. The transcript is spliced from 3 exons. The record is from RefSeq and is a predicted model, not a curated record. NCBI's taxonomy places the organism in Eukaryota, Metazoa, Arthropoda, Insecta, Lepidoptera, Tortricidae.
AUUAUUAAUAGUAGUUUAUGUGACUGCUACAUAAUGAAAGGCAUUAAAAUACGAGUGUGGGUUUAUGAAACGAAUGAAAUGAGUUUCAUAAUAGUAUCACACGAGUGUUUUAAUGCCUAAUUAUGUACAGUUACAUACACUGCUUUAUCUACACACAUAUUAUAAACUUUCUAUGAUAUAUUCACUAACCUCAUAUUACAGCCGACAUUAGGGCACUUUCCUUUCUGGCGGAACUCGCGGAUAUGAGGUGGCGUCUCCGAAAUAUCUUUAUCGCACAUUUUACACGAAACUUUUGUUAUAGUUACUUUAAAAACAACGAAACAAAUUAUUUUUUACUUAAAAACUAAUUAUACUAUAAACUGUACGUCAAAUGGCGGCAAAUGAAAACUUUUUUCACGCACGUCACGCAUCUGUAGUUUUUUUUAAUUCAGAGACAAACUAGAGUCGGGGUCGAUUACCAUAUCGUCCGAAACCAACUUACAUGCGAGAUUUGUCAAUAUUGUAUGCAAUUGUCAUUUGAUUUCGAAUAAAACGUCAUCUCGACUGAUAUUAGAAUAGGGGUCAAAUCAAAUUGCUUUUUUUUUCAGAGAUGUUCGAAAUUUGAAUGCAUUACCAAAUCGAUUUUGAUAUAGUAAUGAAGCUAUUACCACAUUUUCACAGAUAAGAAAUUUGCUGUAACAAAACAGUUUAUCGUAAUGGGGGCCAUUAUUUACGGAUUUUGUAGGCAUCAUAGAGAGUUUAUGAUAUGUGUAAUAUGACAAAUUGGAAAUGAUACAUUAUUUUAGUGAUGGUGCAGCUGCACAAUAUAAGAACAAAAAGAAUUUUGUAAACUUGUGUCAUCAUUACGAUGACUUCGGACUAAAAGCAGGGUGGAACUUUUUUGCCACCUCUCACGGCAAAUCCCCCUGUGAUGGUGCUGGCGGCACGAUUAAGCGGUUGAUUAGAAAAGCUAGUCUGCAACGCAUCACAGGUAGUGAUAACAUUUUGUCACCUGAAGCUAUGUACGAGUUUUGUGUGAAUAAAAUUCAUGGGAUCAAGUUCUUUUUUGGUCUCAAAAUCAGAUGUCGAAGAAGCUGAGGUAUAUCUAUCAGAACGAUUUAAAAAUAUAAGGACCAUAAAAAAUACACGUUCUUAUCAUAGCUUCGUUCCCAUUUCUCAAAAUGAAUUAAAAGUGCGACGUUAUUCAACUUCAGAAAAUUUUGAAGUAGCAAAGGUUUGCAAAUGAUUUUUUUUUUGUAUAAAUAUUUAAAGUAAAUUUCAAUCGUCUGGAUUUUAUUUAUAUUUUUCCAUCGAAUUCAUUCAUAUUUAUAAGU